RNAcentral lists this ribosomal RNA (253 nucleotides) under uncultured bacterium. RNAcentral describes it as "partial 16S ribosomal RNA". It matches the Rfam family "Bacterial small subunit ribosomal RNA", at positions 524 to 776 of the family's 1533-position model. The record is from RNAcentral.
AACGGAAGGGGCAAGCGUUGUUCGGAAUCAUUGGGCGUAAAGGGCGCGUAGGUGGUUCUGUAUGUCUGCCGUGAAAGCGUACGGCUCAACCGUAUUUUGUCGGUAGAAACUGCAGGACUUGAGGCUGGGAGGGGCUGGUGGAAUUCCCUGUGUAGCGGUGAAAUGCGUAGAGAUGGGGGAGAACACUCGUGGCGAAGGCGGCCAGCUAGACCAGUUCUGACACUGAGGCGCGACAGCGUGGGGAGCAAACAGG